AUUGAACGCUGGCGGCAUGCUUUACACAUGCAAGUCGAACGGUAACAGGGGAGCUUGCUCCUGCUGACGAGUGGCGAACGGGUGAGUAAUGCAUCGGAACGUGCCGAAUAGUGGGGGAUAACGCACCGAAAGGUGUGCUAAUACCGCAUACGCCCUGAGGGGGAAAGUGGGGGACCGCAAGGCCUCACGCUAAUCGAGCGGCCGAUGUCGGAUUAGCUAGUUGGUGGGGUAAAGGCUCACCAAGGCGACGAUCCGUAGCGGGUCUGAGAGGAUGAUCCGCCACACUGGGACUGAGACACGGCCCAGACUCCUACGGGAGGCAGCAGUGGGGAAUUUUGGACAAUGGGGGAAACCCUGAUCCAGCCAUGCCGCGUGUCUGAAGAAGGCCUUCGGGUUGUAAAGGACUUUUGUCCGGGAGGAAACCCUGAUCGUUAAUAGCGGUCGGGACUGACAGUACCGGAAGAAUAAGCACCGGCUAACUACGUG
This 486-nucleotide ribosomal RNA is filed under the name uncultured bacterium. RNAcentral's name for it is "bacterial SSU rRNA". It matches the Rfam family "Bacterial small subunit ribosomal RNA", at positions 29 to 507 of the family's 1533-position model. The record is from RNAcentral.